RNAcentral lists this ribosomal RNA (297 nucleotides) under Salmonella enterica. RNAcentral's name for it is "partial 16S ribosomal RNA". It matches the Rfam family "Bacterial small subunit ribosomal RNA", at positions 1 to 294 of the family's 1533-position model. RNAcentral also lists the same sequence under 2 other names. The record is from RNAcentral. Lineage: Bacteria; Pseudomonadati; Pseudomonadota; Gammaproteobacteria; Enterobacterales; Enterobacteriaceae.
AAAUUGAAGAGUUUGAUCAUGGCUCAGAUUGAACGCUGGCGGCAGGCCUAACACAUGCAAGUCGAACGGUAACAGGAAGCAGCUUGCUGCUUUGCUGACGAGUGGCGGACGGGUGAGUAAUGUCUGGGAAACUGCCUGAUGGAGGGGGAUAACUACUGGAAACGGUGGCUAAUACCGCAUAACGUCGCAAGACCAAAGAGGGGGACCUUCGGGCCUCUUGCCAUCAGAUGUGCCCAGAUGGGAUUAGCUUGUUGGUGAGGUAACGGCUCACCAAGGCGACGAUCCCUAGCUGGUCUG